UCAGAUUAGAAACUCAAUACACAGCAGACGACCCAAAAGAAGCUGUUACCGGCCAUCCUGGGAGAGUCAAAAUGCCUGUCAAGCAUGCACCUCUGCAUUGCCCAAAAAGUCUGCCUCAGCGACCCUGUAAGCUGAAUCACUUUGUUGCGAAGUGUGCCUCUUAUUCAUGCUCUGUAUUUAAUGCUGGAUACCCUGAAUCGCAUAGUUUAGAUCCCUUAAAAGUUGACCGAAUGAACAAAGUUUUACUCUGCAAAGAGUUUUUAUGAAGCUACAGGGAUAUCACCAUAAAGACCUACCAACAGAAGGAUCAUUGUAACUCUCCCUCUUUCUACACCCACUAAAAUAAAACCAUCAACUGCGUAA
Long non-coding RNA from Dromaius novaehollandiae (emu), 363 nucleotides. RefSeq lists it as uncharacterized. The transcript has 2 exons. NCBI's taxonomy places the organism in Eukaryota, Metazoa, Chordata, Aves, Casuariiformes, Dromaiidae. The record is from RefSeq and is a predicted model, not a curated record.